GUUGUAUAGUCAAGUAAUUAAGUGCAUGUGGUGGAUGCCUUGGCAGUCAGAGGCGAUGAAAGACGUGAUAGCCUGCGAAAAGCUCCGGGGAGGCGGCAAAUAUCCUUUGAUCCGGAGAUGUCUGAAUGGGGGAACCCACCUACUUUAAGGUAGGUAUUGCAACAUGAAUACAUAGUGUUGCAAGGCGAACGAGGGGAAGUGAAACAUCUCAGUACCCUUAGGAAAAGAAAUCAAUUGAGAUUCCCUCAGUAGCGGCGAGCGAACGGGGAUCAGCCCAUUAAGUUAUGUGUGUUUUAGUGGAACGCUCUGGGAAGUGCGAACGUAGAGGGUGAUAUUCCCGUACACGAAAGGGCACACAUAAUGAUGACGAGUAGGGCGAGGCACGUGAAACCUUGUCUGAAUAUGGGGGGACCAUCCUCCAAGGCUAAAUACUCCUGACUGACCGAUAGUGAACCAGUACCGUGAGGGAAAGGCGAAAAGAACCCCUGUGAGGGGAGUGAAAUAGAUCCUGAAACCGCAUGCAUACAAGCAGUGGGAGCACCUUCGUGGUGUGACUGCGUACCUUUUGUAUAAUGGGUCAGCGACUUAUAUUCAGUAGCGAGGUUAACCGUAUAGGGGAGCCGUAGAGAAAUCGAGUCUUAAUAGGGCGUUUAGUUGCUGGGUAUAGACCCGAAACCAGGCGAUCUAUCCAUGAGCAGGUUGAAGGUUGGGUAACACUAACUGGAGGACCGAACCCACUGUCGUUGAAAAGCCAGGGGAUGACUUGUGGAUAGGGGUGAAAGGCUAAUCAAGCCUGGUGAUAGCUGGUUCUCCCCGAAAGCUAUUUAGGUAGCGCCUCGGACGAAUACCAUAGGGGGUAGAGCACUGUUUCGGCUAGGGGGUCAUCCCGACUUACCAAACCGAUGCAAACUCCGAAUACCUAUGAGUACUAUCCGGGAGACAGACUGCGGGUGCUAACGUCCGUAGUCAAGAGGAAAACAAUCCAGACCGCCAGCUAAGGCCCCAAAAUCAUAGUUAAGUGGGAAACGAUGUGGGAAGGCAUAGACAGCUAGGAGGUUGGCUUAGAAGCAGCCACCCUUUAAAGAAAGCGUAAUAGCUCACUAGUCGAGUCGGCCUGCGCGGAAGAUGUAACGGGGCUAAAACUAUGUGCCGAAGCUGCGGAUGUAUACUUUGUAUACGUGGUAGGGGAGCGUUCUGUAAGCCGAUGAAGGUGUGUUGAGAAGCAUGCUGGAGGUAUCAGAAGUGCGAAUGCUGACGUGAGUAACGACAAAACGGGUGAAAAACCCGUUCGCCGAAAGACCAAGGGUUCCAGUCCAACGUUAAUCGGGGCUGGGUGAGUCGACCCCUAAGGCGAGGCCGAAAGGCGUAGUCGAUGGGAAAAUGGUUAAUAUUCCAUUACUUCUGUGUAAUGCGAUGAGAGGACGGAGAAGGCUAAAUCAGCCUGGCGUUGGUUGUCCAGGUGAAAGGAUGUAGGCAUGUAUCUUAGGCAAAUCCGGGGUACUCUAUGCUGAGAUCUGAUAGCAAGCUGUACUUGUACAGCGAAGUGGUUGAUGCCAUGCUUCCAGGAAAAGUCUCUAAGCUUCAGUUACACAGGAAUCGUACCCGAAACCGACACAGGUGGUCAGGUCGAGUAGACCAAGGCGCUUGAGAGAACUCUGCUGAAGGAACUAGGCAAAAUGGUACCGUAACUUCGGGAGAAGGUACGCUGUUGUUGGUGAUGGAACUCGCUUCCUGAGCUGACGACAGCCGCAGAAACCAGGCCGCUGCAACUGUUUAUUAAAAACAUAGCACUCUGCAAACACGAAAGUGGACGUAUAGGGUGUGAUGCCUGCCCGGUGCUGGAAGGUUAAUUGAUGGGGUUAGCGUAAGCGAAGCUCUUGAUCGAAGCCCCAGUAAACGGCGGCCGUAACUAUAACGGUCCUAAGGUAGCGAAAUUCCUUGUCGGGUAAGUUCCGACCUGCACGAAUGGCAUAAUGAUGGCGGCGCUGUCUCCAGCAGAGGCUCAGUGAAAUCGAAAUCGCUGUGAAGAUGCAGUGUACCCGCGGCUAGACGGAAAGACCCCGUGAACCUUUACUGCAGCUUGACACUGAACUUUGACCUUACUUGUGUAGGAUAGGUGGGAGGCUUUGAAGCUGGAACGCUAGUUCCAGUGGAGCCGUCCUUGAAAUACCACCCUGGUAAUGUUGAGGUUCUAACUCUGUCCCGUGAUCCGGGACGAGGACCGUGUCUGGUGGGUAGUUUGACUGGGGCGGUCUCCUCCUAAAGAGUAACGGAGGAGUACGAAGGUG
Molecule: ribosomal RNA, 2288 nt
Filed under: Acinetobacter baumannii
Lineage: Bacteria; Pseudomonadati; Pseudomonadota; Gammaproteobacteria; Moraxellales; Moraxellaceae
Description: bacterial LSU rRNA
Rfam family: Bacterial large subunit ribosomal RNA
Source: RNAcentral